This 738-nucleotide unclassified non-coding RNA is filed under the name Rhizoclonium sp. B34. RNAcentral's name for it is "sequence contains ITS1, 5.8S rRNA gene, ITS2". The stretch from base 377 to 530 matches the Rfam family "5.8S ribosomal RNA". Lineage: Eukaryota; Viridiplantae; Chlorophyta; Ulvophyceae; Cladophorales; Cladophoraceae. The record is from RNAcentral.
GUAACAAGGUCUCCGUAGGUGAACCUGCGGAGGGAUCCAUAGCAAUCAUAUUGAUUGGCGAUCAUUCUUGGGAAUGGUAUGGGAGUAAUCCUAUAACGCCAUCUCAUCCAUGGCUAAGGCUAGUUGCUGUACCUCAGCACUUAGACCUGGGUCUUCUUGCCUUUGUGCCCCUGCAAUAUGCGGACUCUACUACCAUAGAAAGCCGUGCGGAUGGUACGGGUUGGCAUUUGGUCUAUGACCUUGCCGGCCAGGGGCUCCGCGCCACUCUAUUCGAGUGGCACGUAGGGGCUUAGGCUUCUGCGGGAGUCCCUUUGACAUACUUUAUCCAAAAACUAUCAGUACCUUGGUGGACUAGUGCCCCAAGUAAUAAUAUAAUAACACUGUACAAUGGAUUUCUUGGCUCCCACGUCGAUGAAGAACGCAGCAAAGCGCGAUAGGUAGUGUGAAUUGCAGAAUUCCGUGAAUCAUCGAAUUUUUGAACGCAUAUUGCGCCCUAGAUCUCGGUCUUGGGCAUGUCUGCCUCAGCGUCGUUUUCAAUGGUUUACCGACAAUGUCUCUUGCCUGUCAUUAGGUGAGCAUGAGCUAAAACCUUGUACUCUUCGUGCUCAGCACGACGUGCAACAGUGGUCUUCCUCAACACUGUUCAUCGUGAGCAAGCUGCUUUUAUAGCAACCGCUAUUAUCGUGGACAGAUGGAUGAGGCUGAAAAUGGCCAGCUGUUACAACCAUUCGACCUGAG